Molecule: ribosomal RNA, 468 nt
Filed under: uncultured bacterium
Lineage: Bacteria
Description: partial 16S ribosomal RNA
Rfam family: Bacterial small subunit ribosomal RNA
Source: RNAcentral
GACGAACGCUGGCGGCGUGCUUAACACAUGCAAGUCGAACGGAAACGCCCUGCUUUUGUGGGGUGCUCGAGUGGCGAACGGGUAAGUAACACGUGAGUAACCUGCCCUUGACUUUGGUAUAACUUAAGGAAACUGGGGCUAAUCCCGGAUCGGAGCUCCUGCUGCAUUGUGGGGGUUGGAAAGUUUCGGCGGGUGGGGAUGGACUGGCGGAUGAUCAGCUAGUUGGUGGGGUAGUGGCUUACCGAGGCAGUGACGGGUAGCCGGCAUGUGAGGGUGGCCGGCCACAUUGGGACUGAGAUACGGCCCAGACUCCUACGGGAGGCAGCAGUGGGGAAUAUUGUACAAUGGUCGGAAGCCUGAUGAAGAGACGCCGCGUGCGGGAUGACGGCCUUCGGGGUGUGAACCGCUUCCGCCUGUUACGAAGCGUGAGUGACGGUAAUGGGUAAAGAAGCACCGGCUAACUACGUG